Molecule: ribosomal RNA, 1358 nt
Filed under: uncultured bacterium
Lineage: Bacteria
Description: 16S ribosomal RNA
Rfam family: Bacterial small subunit ribosomal RNA
Source: RNAcentral
GAACGCCAGCUACAGGCUUAACACACGCAAGUCGAGGGGCAGCAUUUCAGUCUCGCUUCGCAAACCGGAGAAGGCGACCGGCGCACGGGUGAGUAACACGUAUCCAACCUGCCGAUAACUCGGGGAUAGCCUUUCGAAAGAAAGAUUAAUACCCGAUGGUAUAAUCAGACCGCAUGGUCUUGUUAUUAAAGAAUUUCGGUUAUCGAUGGGGAUGCGUUCCAUUAGGCAGUUGGUGAGGUAACGGCUCACCAAACCUUCGAUGGAUAGGGGUUCUGAGAGGAAGGUCCCCCACAUUGGAACUGAGACACGGUCCAAACUCCUACGGGAGGCAGCAGUGAGGAAUAUUGGUCAAUGGGCGCAGGCCUGAACCAGCCAAGUAGCGUGAAGGAUGACUGCCCUAUGGGUUGUAAACUUCUUUUAUAUGGGAAUAAAGUUUUCCACGUGUGGAAUUUUGUAUGUACCAUAUGAAUAAGGAUCGGCUAACUCCGUGCCAGCAGCCGCGGUAAUACGGAGGAUCCGAGCGUUAUCCGGAUUUAUUGGGUUUAAAGGGAGCGUAGGUGGACAGUUAAGUCAGUUGUGAAAGUUUGCGGCUCAACCGUAAAAUUGCAGUUGAUACUGGCUGUCUUGAGUACAGUAGAGGUGGGCGGAAUUCGUGGUGUAGCGGUGAAAUGCUUAGAUAUCACGAAGAACUCCGAUUGCGAAGGCAGCUCACUGGACUGCAACUGACACUGAUGCUCGAAAGUGUGGGUAUCAAACAGGAUUAGAUACCCUGGUAGUCCACACAGUAAACGAUGAAUACUCGCUGUUUGCGAUAUACAGUAAGCGGCCAAGCGAAAGCAUUAAGUAUUCCACCUGGGGAGUACGCCGGCAACGGUGAAACUCAAAGGAAUUGACGGGGGCCCGCACAAGCGGAGGAAUAUGUGGUUUAAUUCGAUGAUACGCGAGGAACCUUACCCGGGCUUAAAUUGCAUUUGAAUAUAUUGGAAACAGUAUAGCCGUAAGGCAAAUGUGAAGGUGCUGCAUGGUUGUCGUCAGCUCGUGCCGUGAGGUGUCGGCUUAAGUGCCAUAACGAGCGCAACCCUUAUCUUUAGUUACUAACAGGUCAUGCUGAGGACUCUAGAGAGACUGCCGUCGUAAGAUGUGAGGAAGGUGGGGAUGACGUCAAAUCAGCACGGCCCUUACGUCCGGGGCUACACACGUGUUACAAUGGGGGGUACAGAAGGCAGCUACCUGGUGACAGGAUGCUAAUCCCAAAAGCCUCUCUCAGUUCGGAUCGAAGUCUGCAACCCGACUUCGUGAAGCUGGAUUCGCUAGUAAUCGCGCAUUCAGCCAUGGCGCGGUGAAUACGUUCCCGGGCC